This 503-nucleotide ribosomal RNA is filed under the name Photobacterium sp. 5Bf5S239. RNAcentral describes it as "bacterial SSU rRNA". It matches the Rfam family "Bacterial small subunit ribosomal RNA", at positions 382 to 877 of the family's 1533-position model. Lineage: Bacteria; Pseudomonadati; Pseudomonadota; Gammaproteobacteria; Vibrionales; Vibrionaceae. The record is from RNAcentral.
CCUGAUGCAGCCAUGCCGCGUGUGUGAAGAAGGCCUUCGGGUUGUAAAGCACUUUCAGUCGUGAGGAAGGCAUAUGCGUUAAUAGCGCAUGUGUUUGACGUUAGCGACAGAAGAAGCACCGGCUAACUCCGUGCCAGCAGCCGCGGUAAUACGGAGGGUGCGAGCGUUAAUCGGAAUUACUGGGCGUAAAGCGCAUGCAGGCGGCUUGUUAAGCCAGAUGUGAAAGCCCGGGGCUCAACCUCGGAAUAGCAUUUGGAACUGGCAGGCUAGAGUCUUGUAGAGGGGGGUAGAAUUUCAGGUGUAGCGGUGAAAUGCGUAGAGAUCUGAAGGAAUACCGGUGGCGAAGGCGGCCCCCUGGACAAAGACUGACGCUCAGAUGCGAAAGUUUGGGGAGCAAACAGGAUUAGAUACCCUGGUAGUCCACGCCGGAAACGAUGUCUACUUGGAGGUUGGUGUCUUGAACACUGGCUUUCGGAGCUAACGCGUUAAGUAGACCGCCUGGG